This 415-nucleotide ribosomal RNA is filed under the name uncultured bacterium. RNAcentral's name for it is "bacterial SSU rRNA". It matches the Rfam family "Bacterial small subunit ribosomal RNA", at positions 355 to 786 of the family's 1533-position model. The record is from RNAcentral.
UGAGGGAUAUUGGGCAAUGGGGGAAACCCUGACCCAGCGACGCCGCGUGAGGGAAGACGGUCUUCGGAUUGUAAACCUCUGUCUUUGGGGACGAAAAAGGACGGUACCCAAGGAGGAAGCUCCGGCUAACUACGUGCCAGCAGCCGCGGUAAUACGUAGGGAGCGAGCGUUGUCCGGAAUUACUGGGUGUAAAGGGAGCGUAGGCGGGAAGGCAAGUUGGAUGUGAAAACUGUGGGCUCAACCGACAGACUGCAUUCAAAACUGUUUUUCUUGAGUGAAGUAGAGGCAAGCGGAAUUCCUAGUGUAGCGGUGAAAUGCGUAGAUAUUAGGAGGAACACCAGUGGCGAAGGCGGCUUGCUGGGCUUUUACUGACGCUGAGGCUCGAAAGUGUGGGGAGCAAACAGGAUUAGAUACC